This 375-nucleotide long non-coding RNA is filed under the name Homo sapiens (human). Its description in RNAcentral is "HSALNT0141393". Lineage: Eukaryota; Metazoa; Chordata; Mammalia; Primates; Hominidae. The record is from RNAcentral.
UGGGCAACAUGGCAAAACCCCGUCUCUACAAAAAAAUACAAAAAUUAGCUGGGUGUGGUGGCAUGUGCCUGUAGCAUCACCUACUCUGGAGGCCGAAGUAGGAGGAUGGCUGGAGCCUGGGAGACAGAAGUUGCAGAGAGUUGACAUCACGCCACUGUACCCCAGCCUGGGUAACAGAGUCAGAUCUUGUCUCAAGAAAAAAAAAAAAAGAAAGAAAGAAAGAAAGAAAAAAAAAAAACACUGCAGAACUUCCUAGUUCAAAGAACCAGAGGUAAAUGAUGAGGAGACAACUGAACAAAGAAAAGCCCCUGAACUCCCAAACCCAGAAACAUUCUGGUUUACAGCCUGCUGAACAAGUGAUUCAGAGGUGUAUAC